GACGAACGCUGGCGGCGUGCUUAACACAUGCAAGUCGAACGGAAAGGCCCCUUUGGGGGUACUCGAGUGGCGAACGGGUGAGUAACACGUGAGUAACCUGCCCUUGACUUCGGGAUAACUUCAGGAAACUGGGGCUAAUACCGGAUAGGAAUCCUUGCUGCAUGGUGGGGGUUGGAAAGCUUCGGCGGUUUUGGAUGGACUCGCGGCUUAUCAGCUUGUUGGUGGGGUAGUGGCUUACCAAGGCUUUGACGGGUAGCCGGCCUGGGAGGGCGACCGGCCACAUUGGGACUGAGAUACGGCGCAGACUCCUACGGGAGGCAGCAGUGGGGAAUAUUGCACAGUGGGCGGAAGCCUGAUGCAGCAACGCCGCGUGCGGGAUGACGGCCUUCGGGUUGUAAACCGCUUUCAGCAGGGGCGAAGCUUUUGUGACGGUACCUGCAGAAGAAGCACCGGCUAACUACGUG
Molecule: ribosomal RNA, 464 nt
Filed under: uncultured bacterium
Lineage: Bacteria
Description: partial 16S ribosomal RNA
Rfam family: Bacterial small subunit ribosomal RNA
Source: RNAcentral